GAUGAACGCUGGCGGCGUGCUUAGCACAUGCAAGUCGAACGGAAAGGCCCAAGCUUGCUUGGGUACUCGAGUGGCGAACGGGUGAGAAACACGUGGGUGAUCUGCCCUGCACUUCGGGAUAAGCCUGGGAAACUGGGUCUAAUACCGGAUAGGACGAUGGUUUGGAUGCCAUUGUGGAAAGUUUUUUCGGUGUGGGAUGAGCUCGCGGCCUAUCAGCUUGUUGGUGGGGUAAUGGCCUACCAAGGCGUCGACGGGUAGCCGGCCUGAGAGGGUGUACGGCCACAUUGGGACUGAGAUACGGCCCAGACUCCUACGGGAGGCAGCAGUGGGGAAUAUUGCACAAUGGGCGCAAGCCUGAUGCAGCGACGCCGCGUGGGGGAUGACGGCCUUCGGGUUGUAAACUCCUUUCGCUAGGGACGAAGCGUUUUUGUGACGGUACCUGGAGAAGAAGCACCGGCUAACUACGUG
Molecule: ribosomal RNA, 468 nt
Filed under: uncultured bacterium
Lineage: Bacteria
Description: partial 16S ribosomal RNA
Rfam family: Bacterial small subunit ribosomal RNA
Source: RNAcentral